GUUGCCGUAGGCGAGUGGUUAAGGCGAGAGACUUUUGGGAUCUUUCCGCACAGGUUCGAAUCCUGCCGACAACG
Molecule: transfer RNA, 74 nt
Filed under: Dreissena polymorpha
Lineage: Eukaryota; Metazoa; Mollusca; Bivalvia; Myida; Dreissenidae
Rfam family: tRNA
About the family: Transfer RNA (tRNA) molecules are approximately 80 nucleotides in length.
Source: Rfam by way of RNAcentral